This 403-nucleotide ribosomal RNA is filed under the name uncultured bacterium. Its description in RNAcentral is "partial 16S ribosomal RNA". It matches the Rfam family "Bacterial small subunit ribosomal RNA", at positions 30 to 526 of the family's 1533-position model. The record is from RNAcentral.
AUUGAACGCUGGCGGCAGGCCUAACACAUGCAAGUCGAGCGAGCGGCGGACGGGUGAGUAAUGUAUGGGGACUGCCCGAUAGAGGGGGAUAACUACUGUAACCGGUGGCUAAUACCGCAUACUAUCGGAUAACCCAGAUGGGAUUAGCUAGUGGGUGGGGAAAAGGCUCACCUAGGCGACGAUGCCUAGCUGGUCUGAGAGGAUGAUCGGCCACACUGGGACUGAGACACGGCCCAGACUCCUACGGAGGCAGCAGUGGGGAAUAUUGGGCAAUGGGCGAAAGCCUGAUGCAGCCAUGCCGCGUGUAUGAAGAAGGCCUUAGGGUUGUAAAGUACUUUCAUCGGGGAGGCGGUACCCGCAGAAGAAGCACCGGCUAACUCCGUGCCAGCAGCCGCGGUAAUAC